RNAcentral lists this Y RNA (110 nucleotides) under Microcebus murinus (gray mouse lemur). Its description in RNAcentral is "Y RNA (ENSMICG00000045829.1)". It matches the Rfam family "Y RNA". From Rfam's summary of the family: Y RNAs are components of the Ro ribonucleoprotein particle (Ro RNP), in association with Ro60 and La proteins. The Y RNAs and Ro60 and La proteins are well conserved, but the function of the Ro RNP is not known. The record is from Rfam by way of RNAcentral. Lineage: Eukaryota; Metazoa; Chordata; Mammalia; Primates; Cheirogaleidae.
GGCUGGUCCAAAGGUAUUGAGUUAUCUCACUUGAUUGUUCACAGUCAGUUACAGAUUAAACUCCUUGUUCUACUCUUUCCCUUCUCACUACUACAUUUGACUAGUGUUAA